CCCAGACUCCUACGGGAGGCAGCAGUGGGGGAUAUUGCACAAUGGGGGGAACCCUGAUGCAGCGACGCCGCGUGGGUGAAGGAGUAUUUCGGUAUGUAAAGCCCUAUCGGCAGGGAAGAAGCAAGACGGUACCUGACUAAGAAGCCCCGGCUAACUACGUGCCAGCAGCCGCGGUAAUACGUAGGGGGCGAGCGUUAUCCGGAUUCACUGGGUGUAAAGGGAGCGUAGACGGCCAUGCAAGCCAGGGGUGAGAGCCCGGGGGGCAACCCCGGGACUGCCCUUGGAACUGCAUGGAUGGAGUGCGGGGGGGGCAGGCGGAAUUCCUGGUGUAGCGGUGAAAUGCGUAGAUAUCAGGAGGAGCACCGGCGGCGAAGGCGGCCUGCUGGACCGCGACUGACGUUGAGGCCCGAAAGCGUGGGGAGCAAACAGGAUUAGAUACCCGAGUACA
Molecule: ribosomal RNA, 448 nt
Filed under: uncultured bacterium
Lineage: Bacteria
Description: partial 16S ribosomal RNA
Rfam family: Bacterial small subunit ribosomal RNA
Source: RNAcentral